GUCAUAGUGAUCCGGUGGUUCUGAAUGGAAGGGCCAUCGCUCAACGGAUAAAAGGUACUCCGGGGAUAACAGGCUGAUACCGCCCAAGAGUUCAUAUCGACGGCGGUGUUUGGCACCUCGAUGUCGGCUCAUCACAUCCUGGGGCUGAAGUAGGUCCCAAGGGUAUGGCUGUUCGCCAUUUAAAGUGGUACGCGAGCUGGGUUUAGAACGUCGUGAGACAGUUCGGUCCCUAUCUGCCGUGGGCGCUGGAGAACUGAGGGGGGCUGCUCCUAGUACGAGAGGACCGGAGUGGACGCAUCACUGGUGUUCGGGUUGUCAUGCCAAUGGCACUGCCCGGUAGCUAAAUGCGGAAGAGAUAAGUGCUGAAAGCAUCUAAGCACGAAACUUGCCCCGAGAUGAGUUCUCCCUGACUCCUUGAGAGUCCUGAAGGAACGUUGAAGACGACGACGUUGAUAGGCCGGGUGUGUAAGCGCAGCGAUGCGUUGAGCUAACCGGUACUAAUGAACCGUGAGGCUUAACC
This 520-nucleotide ribosomal RNA is filed under the name Escherichia coli. RNAcentral describes it as "partial 23S ribosomal RNA". It matches the Rfam family "Bacterial large subunit ribosomal RNA", at positions 2409 to 2925 of the family's 2925-position model. The record is from RNAcentral. Lineage: Bacteria; Pseudomonadati; Pseudomonadota; Gammaproteobacteria; Enterobacterales; Enterobacteriaceae.